AGGGGUGUGGCACAGUUGGUAGCGCAACGGUCUCCAAAACCGUAGGUCGUGGGUUCGAGUCCCGCCGCCCCUG
This 73-nucleotide transfer RNA is filed under the name Candidatus Servula neotermitis. RNAcentral's name for it is "tRNA-Trp". It matches the Rfam family "tRNA". From Rfam's summary of the family: Transfer RNA (tRNA) molecules are approximately 80 nucleotides in length. Their secondary structure includes four short double-helical elements and three loops (D, anti-codon, and T loops). The record is from RNAcentral. Lineage: Bacteria; Bacillati; Actinomycetota; Actinomycetes; Bifidobacteriales; Bifidobacteriaceae.